This 319-nucleotide ribosomal RNA is filed under the name uncultured eukaryote. RNAcentral describes it as "partial 18S ribosomal RNA". It matches the Rfam family "Eukaryotic small subunit ribosomal RNA", at positions 1470 to 1796 of the family's 1831-position model. The record is from RNAcentral.
CCCUUAGAUGUUCUGGGCCGCACGCGCGCUACAAUGGUCUUCGCAAACGGAUGCAUUCUCGAAGGAGAAUGCCAAUCUUGGAAUCUAUGCCUUGGUCGGGACAGUUGCUUGCAAUUUUUCGACUCGAACCAGGAAUUCCUUGUAAUCGUGAUUCAUCACAUCACGAUGAAUACGUCCCUGCCCUUUGUACACACCGCCCGUCGCUCCUACCGAUCGAAGAGUUAGGUGAAUUGUUUUGAGCGAUAAGAUUUGACUAUGGUCAACUCUCGUUGUGAAAUUCUGUGAAUCUGACUGUUUAGAGGAAGGAAAAGUCGUAACA